GCUCCAUUAGCUCAGCGGUAGAGCAGCUGAUUCGUAAUCAGCAGGUCGCCGGUUCGAAUCCGGCAUGGAGCU
This 72-nucleotide transfer RNA is filed under the name Caloramator australicus RC3. It matches the Rfam family "tRNA". Rfam says of the family: Transfer RNA (tRNA) molecules are approximately 80 nucleotides in length. Their secondary structure includes four short double-helical elements and three loops (D, anti-codon, and T loops). The record is from Rfam by way of RNAcentral. Lineage: Bacteria; Bacillati; Bacillota; Clostridia; Eubacteriales; Clostridiaceae.